GUGAAUCAUCGAAUUUUUGAACGCAAAUUGCACUCUUUGCUGAGAGUAUGCCUGUUUGAGGUUCAGUAUUAAUAAUAAUCUGAGUGUUGCUUUUUUGUUACGCUCCGGCGUUUGGGUCAUCUUAAUAUCCUGUAGGUUUUAAUUGGCUUAAGAUUGACUGUUUUUGCGCAUUUUAGAUGUACAUAAAUUUUUUUUUAUUCGUCUAUUCUUAAUGCUAAAUUCUUAUUAUAUGUGAUCACAUCGUGUGGCUUCGUGUCCAUAA
This 262-nucleotide unclassified non-coding RNA is filed under the name Glomeraceae sp. Its description in RNAcentral is "partial contains 5.8S ribosomal RNA and internal transcribed spacer 2". The stretch from base 1 to 65 matches the Rfam family "5.8S ribosomal RNA", at positions 84 to 154 of the family's 154-position model. Lineage: Eukaryota; Fungi; Glomeromycota; Glomeromycetes; Glomerales; Glomeraceae. The record is from RNAcentral.